GUCCACACAGUAACGAUGGAUACUCGCUGCCGGCGAUAUAAUGUCGGUGGCUUAGCGAAAGCGUUAAGUAUCCCACCUGGGAGUACGCCGGCAACGGUGAAACUCAAAGGAAUUGACGGGGCCCGCACAAGCGGAGGAACAUGUGGUUUAAUUCGAUGAUACGCGAGGAACCUUACCCAGGCUCGAACGGCAAGCUGAAUGUUACCAGAGAUGGUUUCAGUCUUCGGACAGUUUGUCGAGGUGCUGCAUUGUUGUCGU
Molecule: ribosomal RNA, 258 nt
Filed under: uncultured bacterium
Lineage: Bacteria
Description: partial 16S ribosomal RNA
Rfam family: Bacterial small subunit ribosomal RNA
Source: RNAcentral